UACGGGGGGGGCAAGCGUUGUUCGGAAUUACUGGGCGUAAAGGGCUUGUAGGUGGCCAACUAAGUCAGACGUGAAAUCCCUCGGCUUAACCGGGGAACUGCGUCUGAUACUGGAUGGCUGGAGUGUGGGAGAGGGAUGCGGAAUUCCUGGUGUAGCGGUGAAAUGCGCAGAUAUCAGGAAGAACACCAAUGGCGAAAGCAGCUUUCUGGGACGGUACUGACGCUGAGACGCGAAAGCGUGGGGAGCGAACAGG
Molecule: ribosomal RNA, 253 nt
Filed under: uncultured bacterium
Lineage: Bacteria
Description: partial 16S ribosomal RNA
Rfam family: Bacterial small subunit ribosomal RNA
Source: RNAcentral